GAGGGAGAGAGAGAAGGAGAGAGAGGUGUGUGUGGUGGCACGUUGGACAGAGGGGCUCGGCUGGAGUUGCAUUCCAACGCGUCGCUCUCAAUCCCCGCUACUCCCGGCAACACGGUGCCUUGAUCUGGUCCCACGUCAUGCCGGGCAGAGGAGGAGGAGGAGGAGAUGAAGUGCUGGCCGUACCAGGCGGGUGGGACGUCGGCCAAUAAAACACCUGUGACUGUUCAGAUGAUCAGGAACAUCAUCGUCUCUGUCAUCGACUAAAUGAAUCAUCCUGUUGAUGAAUUUCAGGUUCAUUCAUGGUCGCUCCAGGUUUCUGAAGCUCAGAGUGAGCUGCUGCGCCGUCGUCAUCGUGGCAGUGCCUGACUCCGCCCCUAACUCCCAGCCAAUCCAAAUAUGGUCAAAGAGGAGGGGCCGUUGGUGCAUAAACUCAAAGAGACCACGCCCUCAAUCCUCCACAACUUUAGUCCUUGAUAAAAUGUAAACAGGUGAGUUACAUAAACAGGUGUCAUGAAGGUGGAAAUCGUCACUGACUGUAUUUACUGUUAUGAACCAAAACACCAAAGAUGAUUCCUCAUAUGUGAAAACCUACUU
Molecule: long non-coding RNA, 594 nt
Organism: Seriola aureovittata
Lineage: Eukaryota; Metazoa; Chordata; Actinopteri; Carangiformes; Carangidae
Exons: 4
Source: RefSeq, a predicted model, not a curated record